GGGCAAGACAUAGGCAUGGACUAGCCCAAAGCUAGUCGGGCAACCCUAGACCAGGUUCAAGGAAGCUUUGGGUUGGCCCAAGCCUAGAACGAAUACCACACUAGCAGGUCAACUUUGUGCAUGCCCGACCAAGACCCCUCAAGUUUAACCCAACCCAAGACCCGUAUAUCAAUAUCCCAUGGUGGCAGCAUUCGCCAGAGGAACAGUGCAUAUGGGACAGCAAAAAUAACUUGUGCUUGAAUUGACCUUAUGUUCAAAUUUGGGCUGGAUAAUAAGGAUAUGUUUGGUUCGCGACCGAAGUCAGAAUUGAAAUGAUCAUAUUUUUUGCUAUAUUUGAUUUAUGGCUUGAAUUGGAAUCAAAAUUGAAAUCUAAUUUAGAUACAAAAUAAGAGUCUGGAU
Molecule: long non-coding RNA, 399 nt
Filed under: Elaeis guineensis (African oil palm)
Lineage: Eukaryota; Viridiplantae; Streptophyta; Magnoliopsida; Arecales; Arecaceae
Description: long non-coding RNA (EGUI_LNC017391)
Source: RNAcentral